RNAcentral lists this ribosomal RNA (252 nucleotides) under uncultured bacterium. RNAcentral's name for it is "partial 16S ribosomal RNA". It matches the Rfam family "Bacterial small subunit ribosomal RNA", at positions 524 to 776 of the family's 1533-position model. The record is from RNAcentral.
UACGUAGGGUGCAGGCGUUAAUCGGAAUUACUGGGCGUAAGCGUGCGCAGGCGGUUUCUUAAGUCAGAUGUGAAAGCCCCGGGCUUAACCUGGGAACUGCGUUUGAAACUGGGAGACUUGAGUGUGGCAGAGGGGGGUGGAAUUCCACGUGUAGCAGUGAAAUGCGUAGAUAUGUGGAGGAACACCGAUGGCGAAGGCAGCCCCCUGGGUUAACACUGACGCUCAUGCACGAAAGCGUGGGGAGCAAACAGG